Molecule: ribosomal RNA, 254 nt
Filed under: uncultured bacterium
Lineage: Bacteria
Description: partial 16S ribosomal RNA
Rfam family: Bacterial small subunit ribosomal RNA
Source: RNAcentral
UACGUAGGGGGCUAGCGUUGUCCGGAAUCAUUGGGCGUAAAGAGCGUGUAGGCGGCCCGGUAAGUCCGCUGUAAAAGUCAAAGGCUCAACCUUUGAAUGUCAGUGGAUACUGCCGGGCUAGAGUCCGGAAGAGGCGAGUGGAACUCCUGGUGUAGCGGUGGAAUGCGCAGAUAUCAGGAAGAACACCAACGGCGAAGGCAGCUCGCUGGGACGGUACUGACGCUGAGACGCGAAAGCGUGGGGGAGCGAACAGG